AAGGUUCGAUUCGAGCGGAGCGAGAAAGCGUUGCCGCAGGCAACGACCCGAAGGGCGAGGCGCAACGCGCCGAGUAAUCCUUCCCCCACCACCA
This 94-nucleotide small RNA is filed under the name Klebsiella michiganensis. RNAcentral describes it as "partial RtT sRNA". It matches the Rfam family "RtT RNA", at positions 38 to 130 of the family's 130-position model. From Rfam's summary of the family: This family represents a bacterial cis-regulatory element known as RtT RNA. The exact function of RtT is unknown although it is thought that it may be involved in changing the cellular response in relation to amino acid starvation. The record is from RNAcentral. Lineage: Bacteria; Pseudomonadati; Pseudomonadota; Gammaproteobacteria; Enterobacterales; Enterobacteriaceae.